GUCGAGAAUCUUUCACAAUGGGGGCAACCCUGAUGGAGCGACGCCGCGUGGAGGAUAAGGUCUUCGGAUUGUAAACUCCUGUCAUGCGUGAACAAGGUUGCUUGGUUAAUACCUGGGCAAAUUGAUGGUAACGCAAGAGGAAGAGACGGCUAACUCUGUGCCAGCAGCCGCGGUAAUACAGAGGUCUCAAGCGUUGUUCGGAAUCACUGGGCGUAAAGGGUGCGUAGGUGGCGUGGUAAGUCAGAUGUGAAAGCCCGGGGCCCAACCUCGGAACUGCAUCCGAUACUGCCAUGCUAGAGUACUGGAGAGGUGACUAGAAUUCUCGGUGUAGCAGUGAAAUGCGUAGAUAUCGAGAGGAAUACCAAAGGCGUAGGCAGGUCACUGGACAGUUACUGACACUGAGGCACGAAGGCCAGGGGAGCGAACGGGAUUAGAUACCCCAGUAGUCC
Molecule: ribosomal RNA, 449 nt
Filed under: uncultured bacterium
Lineage: Bacteria
Description: partial 16S ribosomal RNA
Rfam family: Bacterial small subunit ribosomal RNA
Source: RNAcentral